This 72-nucleotide transfer RNA is filed under the name Diaphorina citri (Asian citrus psyllid). It matches the Rfam family "tRNA". Rfam says of the family: Transfer RNA (tRNA) molecules are approximately 80 nucleotides in length. Their secondary structure includes four short double-helical elements and three loops (D, anti-codon, and T loops). Lineage: Eukaryota; Metazoa; Arthropoda; Insecta; Hemiptera; Psyllidae. The record is from Rfam by way of RNAcentral.
GCUCCCAUGGCGUAGUGGUCACUUCGCUCGCCUUGCACGCGGGAGACCCGGGUUUGAUUCCCGGCGGGGUCA